This 250-nucleotide ribosomal RNA is filed under the name uncultured bacterium. Its description in RNAcentral is "partial 16S ribosomal RNA". It matches the Rfam family "Bacterial small subunit ribosomal RNA", at positions 63 to 339 of the family's 1533-position model. The record is from RNAcentral.
CGAACGAAGGCUUCGGCCUUAGUGGCGGACGGGUGAGUAACGCGUGGGAAUCUACCUUACGGCGGGGAAUAACAGUUGGAAACGACUGCUAAUACCGCAUACGCCCUUCGGGGGAAAGGCUUCGGCCACCGUUUGAGGAUCCCGCGUCCGAUUAGCUAGUUGGUAGGGUAAAAGCCUACCAAGGCUACGAUCGGUAGCUGGUCUGAGAGGAUGAUCAGCCACACUGGGACUGAGACACGGCCCAGACUCC